CCUCAGUAACGGCGAGUGAAGCGGCAACAGCUCAAAUUUGAAAUCUGGCCCCCAGGGUCCGAGUUGUAAUUUGUAGAGGAUGCUUUUGGUGAGGUGCCUUCCGAGUUCCCUGGAACGGGACGCCAUAGAGGGUGAGAGCCCCGUCUGGUUGGACACCGAGCCUCUGUAAAGCUCCUUCGACGAGUCGAGUAGUUUGGGAAUGCUGCUCUAAAUGGGAGGUAUAUGUCUUCUAAAGCUAAAUAUUGGCCAGAGACCGAUAGCGCACAAGUAGAGUGAUCGAAAGAUGAAAAGCACUUUGAAAAGAGGGUUAAAAAGUACGUGAAAUUGUUGAAAGGGAAGCGCUCAUGACCAGACUUGGGCUUGGCGAAUCAUCCAGCGUUCUCGCUGGUGCACUUCGCCUCGUUCAGGCCAGCAUCAGUUUGUCCCGGGGGAUAAAAGCUUCGGGAACGUGGCUGCUUCGGCAGUGUUAUAGCCCGCUGCAUAAUACCCUGGGGUGGACUGAGGUUCGCGCUCCGCAAGGAUGCUGGCGUAAUGGUCAUCAGCGACCCGUCUUGAAACACGGACCAAGGAGUCGUCUUCGUAUGCGAGUGUUCGGGUGUCAAACCCCUACGCGUAAUGAAAGUGAACGCAGGUGAGAGCUUCGGCGCAUCAUCGACCGAUCCUGAUGUUCUCGGAUGGAUUUGAGUAAGAGCAUACGGGGCCGGACCCGAAAGAAGGUGAACUAUGCCUGUAUAGGGUGAAGCCAGAGGAAACUCUGGUGGAGGCUCGCAGCGGUUCUGACGUGCAAAUCGAUCGUCAAAUAUGGGCAUGGGGGCGAAAGACUAAUCGAACCUUCUAGUAGCUGGUUUCCGCCGAAGUUUCCCUCAGGAUAGCAGUGUUGAACUCAGUUUUAUGAGGUAAAGCGAAUGAUUAGGGACUCGGGGGCGCUAUAUAGCCUUCAUCCAUUCUCAAACUUUAAAUAUGUAAGAAGCUCUUGUUACUUAAUUGAACGUGGGCAUUCGAAUGUAUCAACACUAGUGGGCCAUUUUUGGUAAGCAGAACUGGCGAUGCGGGAUGAACCGAACGCGAGGUUAAGGUGCCAGAGUAGACGCUCAUCAGACACCACAAAAGGCGUUAGUACAUCUUGACAGCAGGACGGUGGCCAUGGAAGUCGGAAUCCGCUAAGGACUGUGUAACAACUCACCUGCCGAAUGUACUAGCCCUGAAAAUGGAUGGCGCUCAAGCGUCUCACCCAUACCUCGCCCUCAGGGUAGAAACGAUGCCCUGAGGAGUAGGCGGACGUGGAGGUCGUGACGAAG
RNAcentral lists this ribosomal RNA (1298 nucleotides) under Pseudodiploospora longispora. Its description in RNAcentral is "LSU rRNA". It matches the Rfam family "Eukaryotic large subunit ribosomal RNA", at positions 78 to 1408 of the family's 3401-position model. Lineage: Eukaryota; Fungi; Ascomycota; Sordariomycetes; Hypocreales; Pseudodiploosporaceae. The record is from RNAcentral.